Molecule: ribosomal RNA, 253 nt
Filed under: uncultured bacterium
Lineage: Bacteria
Description: partial 16S ribosomal RNA
Rfam family: Bacterial small subunit ribosomal RNA
Source: RNAcentral
UACGUAGGGGGCAAGCGUUGUCCGGAUUUACUGGGCGUAAAGAGCGUGUAGGCGGCCAAGCAGGUCCGUUGUGAAAACUGGAGGCUUAACCUCCAGACGUCGACGGAAACCGCGCGGCUAGAGUCCGGGAGAGGUGAGUGGAACUGCGAGUGUAGAGGUGAAAUUCGUAGAUAUUCGCAAGAACACCAGCGGCGAAGGCGGCUCACUGGCCCGGUACUGACGCUGAGGUGCGAAAGCGUGGGUAGCGAACAGG